Molecule: ribosomal RNA, 422 nt
Filed under: fungal sp. tuti-13
Lineage: Eukaryota; Fungi
Description: eukaryotic LSU rRNA
Rfam family: 5.8S ribosomal RNA (bases 110-263)
Source: RNAcentral
GUGAACAUACCAUUUGUUGCCUCGGCGGUGCCUGCUUCGGCAGCCCGCCAGAGGACCCAAACCCUUGAUUUUAUACAGUAUCUUCUGAGUAAAUGAUUAAAUAAAUCAAAACUUUCAACAACGGAUCUCUUGGUUCUGGCAUCGAUGAAGAACGCAGCGAAAUGCGAUAAGUAAUGUGAAUUGCAGAAUUCAGUGAAUCAUCGAAUCUUUGAACGCACAUUGCGCCCGCCAGUAUUCUGGCGGGCAUGCCUGUUCGAGCGUCAUUUCAACCCUCAAGCCCCCGGGCUUGGUGUUGGAGAUCGGCGUGCCCUCCGGGGCGCGCCGGCUCCCAAAUAUAGUGGCGGUCUCGCUGUAGCUUCCUCUGCGUAGUAGCACACCUCGCACUGGAAAACAGCGUGGCCACGCCGUUAAACCCCCCACUU